Molecule: ribosomal RNA, 419 nt
Filed under: Streptomyces spiroverticillatus
Lineage: Bacteria; Bacillati; Actinomycetota; Actinomycetes; Kitasatosporales; Streptomycetaceae
Description: bacterial SSU rRNA
Rfam family: Bacterial small subunit ribosomal RNA
Source: RNAcentral
AUGGCUCAGGACGAACGCUGGCGGCGUGCUUAACACAUGCAAGUCGAACGAUGAAGCCCUUCGGGGUGGAUUAGUGGCGAACGGGUGAGUAACACGUGGGCAAUCUGCCCUUCACUCUGGGACAAGCCCUGGAAACGGGGUCUAAUACCGGAUAACACUCCUGCCCGCAUGGGCGGGGGUUAAAAGCUCCGGCGGUGAAGGAUGAGCCCGCGGCCUAUCAGCUUGUUGGUGGGGUAAUGGCCUACCAAGGCGACGACGGGUAGCCGGCCUGAGAGGGCGACCGGCCACACUGGGACUGAGACACGGCCCAGACUCCUACGGGAGGCAGCAGUGGGGAAUAUUGCACAAUGGGCGAAAGCCUGAUGCAGCGACGCCGCGUGAGGGAUGACGGCCUUCGGGUUGUAAACCUCUUUCAGCAG